GCGGCGAGGAAGGGACCGAGCGAGCCCAGCCCAGCCGGGGGCAGGGUGCCCUUCACCCAGGGAGAGGCUGGCCCUGGCGGCCGAGGCUGCAAUGAGGCCUCCUUCCCGGCAUUGUUCUAAGGAGACGCCCUCGGAGCUGACUUCCCCGGGGCGGACGCAGGCAGCAGGGCGCCGUGUCGGUGGCGUGGAUUAUGCCCGAGGGAGCUGGGUCCGGAGGCAGGAGCCAAGGCGGCAGCUGACCCUGCAGCUUCCUGAUCCUGGUGAGGUGGCAGGUCCCCCGGGAGCCAGUUCCGUCCCAGUUCCUGGAAGCCGGACCAGGGCCCGCAUCUGUGCGCUGUCUGUCUCCCCCUCCCCGCUGGCACCCACUAGCUCCAGUGGGUCCCACUGUCUGCAGCUAAGAACGCCUGGCUGAUGCGGCGGGAGCCAGGACGGCAGGGGGCGGGGCAGGGCGCCCAGGAAGUGGCAGAAGAGUCCAGACAGAGAUGUGGGAAGCUGGCAAGUAUAUUGAAGAACGACUACCAUUUGUGGGGGCCCUACCAGGUGCAUCAUCUCUAACCCUUACAGCAACUCUGUUAGCCGUCUUUCUUCCCACUUCACGGAGGAGGAGAUGCUUACCAGGUGCACCAGUUAAUAAUGCAGAUUUUUUCAAUAGAUGGAGUUACACAUAUGUUGAUAUAGAUGCGAUUUGAUAUGUAUGCUAUUUUGUUGUAUUGACAGCAAGCUUCAAAGCUUCAUAUGUCAAAUUUGCUGAAGGUGUUAACAUCAUAAAUAUUUUUACACUUAAAAAUGUCGAAUUUCGUGCCCAAAAAAAGAGCAUUUGCGGGAAGUUUUAUUUUGAAGAAAAGUGCUGCUGAAAGUUAUCAUAUACUUUGGGAAGCUUAUGGUGAACAUGCUCCAUCUCAAGAUACUUGUGAGCGCUGGUUUAAAUGCUUUAAAAGUGAUGAUUUCAAUGUGAAAGGCAAAGAACUUCCAGGUCAAUUUGAACCACGCUUUGAUUGUGAAACGACCAGAAUGUGCCAGAAGACACGGCAAAGUAAUUUUGCUUCGUGAUGACGCACCAUCACACACUUCAACACCAGUUAAAGACACGUUAAAAGGUCCGGCCUGGGAAGUGUGAACCACCCGCCGUGUUCACCAGGCCUUGCUCCUUCAGAUGACCACGUGUUCCGAUCGAUGGCACACGCAUUCUGAGCAGCACUUCAAAACGUACGAAGAAGUGGAGAAUUGGGUCUCUGAAUGGUUUGCCUCAAAACAAGAAAAGUUCUAUUGGGACGGUAUCCACAGAUUACCUGGAAGAUGGGGAAAUGUGUAGCUAGCGAUGGACGUUACUUUGAAUAAAGCACUUUUGAUGUUUCUCUUG
This is a long non-coding RNA of Eptesicus fuscus (big brown bat), 1360 nucleotides long. RefSeq lists it as uncharacterized. The transcript is spliced from 2 exons. The record is from RefSeq and is a predicted model, not a curated record. Lineage: Eukaryota; Metazoa; Chordata; Mammalia; Chiroptera; Vespertilionidae.